AGUGAACGCUGGCGGUAGGCCUAACACAUGCAAGUCGAACGGCAGCACAGUAAGAGCUUGCUCUUACGGGUGGCGAGUGGCGGACGGGUGAGGAAUACAUCGGAAUCUACUUUUUCGUGGGGGAUAACGUAGGGAAACUACGCUAAUACCGCAUACGACCUACGGGUGAAAGCAGGGGAUCUUCGGACCUUGCGCGAUUGAAUGAGCCGAUGUCGGAUUAGCUAGUUGGCGGGGUAAAGGCCCACCAAGGCGACGAUCCGUAGCUGGUCUGAGAGGAUGAUCAGCCACACUGGAACUGAGACACGGUCCAGACUCCUACGGGAGGCAGCAGUGGGGAAUAUUGGACAAUGGGCGCAAGCCUGAUCCAGCCAUACCGCGUGGGUGAAGAAGGCCUUCGGGUUGUAAAGCCCUUUUGUUGGGAAAGAAAAGCAGCAGGUUAAUACCCCGCUGUUCUGACGGUACCCAAAGAAUAAGCACCGGCUAACUUCGUG
This 491-nucleotide ribosomal RNA is filed under the name uncultured bacterium. Its description in RNAcentral is "partial 16S ribosomal RNA". It matches the Rfam family "Bacterial small subunit ribosomal RNA", at positions 29 to 507 of the family's 1533-position model. The record is from RNAcentral.